Molecule: long non-coding RNA, 628 nt
Filed under: Nicotiana tabacum (common tobacco)
Lineage: Eukaryota; Viridiplantae; Streptophyta; Magnoliopsida; Solanales; Solanaceae
Description: long non-coding RNA (NTAB_LNC012883)
Source: RNAcentral
UAAUUGGCUUAGCUGCUUCUGGUUGGUCUCUAAUUUUUACCAAACAAAUUUACUAGUAUUUGAUUUUUCAUUGCAUUUGUUUCAAGAUAGUGUUGACUUUUAUUUUCUAUUUUUAUUGUUGAUAAGGUUUUAUGAAUUGUAUUUACUCUUAUAAUCAGUUAUUUUUUAAUAGAUGAAGUUUCCUUGUGUUUGCCUACUUGAAUUUCUUACUGCAGAUCGCAUGGAAAGUAAUGUACCGUGGGCACCACAAAUAUGAAGAGAGAAGAUAGAUCAACUAAUCAAGAUUGAAGGUAUGACACUAUUUUCUCCUUUCGUCCUACUUGUGCAAAUAUACAAAAGUAUAUAUAUACAACAAUAUCCAUGUGGAUUACUUAACUCUUAAACAGGGUGCAUACUGGGUUCUUCUGUGGGAAAGAAAAGGAAAAACAUAAUAUCUUAUUGUGUAGAGUUACUAAAUCGGUAACUACAAGGAUUAAUUUUAGUUUCUUGUAUCCAGCCAAAGUCGUGUAACAUGUAUGCAGUUCAAUAUUUGCACAAUUGCACUGAUAAUUCAGAAAUCGACAAGCAUUUAUAUAUUCUUUAAAGUUGUCUAACAUGUAGCACCACUCCAGUGAUAUUUUUCGAGAGC